UACGUAGGCAGCGAGCGUUGUUCGGAGUUACUGGGCGUAAAGGGUGUGUAGGCGGCCUUCUAAGUUUGGUGUGAAAUCUCCCGGCUCAACUGGGAGGGUGCGCCGAAAACUGGGAGGCUAGAGUGCGGGAUGGGAGAGUGGAAUUCCUGGUGUAGCGGUGAAAUGCGUAGAUAUCAGGAGGAACACCGGUGGUGUAAACGGCUUUCUGGACCAUAACUGACGCUGAGGCACGAAAGCGUGGGUAGCAAACAGG
Molecule: ribosomal RNA, 253 nt
Filed under: uncultured prokaryote
Description: partial 16S ribosomal RNA
Rfam family: Bacterial small subunit ribosomal RNA
Source: RNAcentral